Molecule: ribosomal RNA, 981 nt
Filed under: Russula paludosa
Lineage: Eukaryota; Fungi; Basidiomycota; Agaricomycetes; Russulales; Russulaceae
Description: LSU rRNA
Rfam family: Eukaryotic large subunit ribosomal RNA
Source: RNAcentral
ACUACAUAUCAAUAAGCGGAGGAAAAGAAACUAACAAGGAUUCCCCUAGUAACUGCGAGUGAAGCGGGAAAAGCUCAAAUUUAAAAUCUGAUGGUCUUUGGCCGUCCGAGUUGUAAUUUAGAGAAGCGUCUUCCGCGCUGGACCGUGCACAAGUCUCCUGGAAUGGAGCGUCAUAGAGGGUGAGAAUCCCGUCUUUGGCACGGACACACCAGGGCUUUUGUGAUGCGCUCUCGAAGAGUCGAGUUGUUUGGGAAUGCAGCUCAAAAUGGGUGGUGAACUCCAUCUAAAGCUAAAUAUUGGCGAGAGACCGAUAGCGAACAAGUACCGUGAGGGAAAGAUGAAAAGCACUUUGGAAAGAGAGUGAAACAGUACGUGAAAUUGUUGAAAGGGAAACGCUUGAAGUCAGUCGCGUCGACCGAGACUCAGCCUUGCCUUGGCUUGGUGUACUUCUCGGCUGACGGGUCAGCAUCAAUUUUGCCCCUUGGAUAAUGGCGAGGGAAAUGUGACACCUUUGCGGUGUGUUAUAGUCCCUCGUCGCAUGCAAGGGUUGGGAUUGAGGAACUCAGCACGCGCCUUUGGGCGUCGGGGCUUUGCCCACGAUACGUGCUUAGGAUGUUGGCGUAAUGGCUUUAAACGACCCGUCUUGAAACACGGACCAAGGAGUCUAACAUGCCUGCGAGUGUUCGGGUGGAAAACCCGUGCGCGCAAUGAAAGUGAAAGUUGGGACCUCUGUCGUGGAGGGCACCGACGCCCGGACCAGACCUUCUGUGACGGCUCUGCGGUAGAGCAUGUAUGUUAGGACCCGAAAGAUGGUGAACUAUGCCUGAAUAGGGUGAAGCCAGAGGAAACUCUGGUGGAGGCUCGUAGCGAUUCUGACGUGCAAAUCGAUCGUCAAAUUUGGGUAUAGGGGCGAAAGACUAAUCGAACCAUCUAGUAGCUGGUCCUGUCGUUCCCUCCUCACUCAACCACGAGGGAGGAAAA